Long non-coding RNA from Schistocerca gregaria, 655 nucleotides. RefSeq lists it as uncharacterized. NCBI's taxonomy places the organism in Eukaryota, Metazoa, Arthropoda, Insecta, Orthoptera, Acrididae. The record is from RefSeq and is a predicted model, not a curated record. The transcript is spliced from 3 exons.
AGGACGACGUUUUUUUCCUACACUUCGGAUAGGUUAAGAAACUGCUAUGAAAAAAAUUUUUUCGCGACAAGGCAAGGAAGAAGGCAAAGGUUGUCAAAAUCUUUCUACGGUGUUUUGAACUGGUGAAGGAAAAAAAACAUUCAGUCCUUCCUCUGUAACACAUGGAUUUCGAAAUACCGCCACCGAUACAAAACAACUGCAGUAAGACAGCAAGAAAAAUUCUCGAAGAACCUGUAGAAGAUCUGUAUACGGAACCAGCUAUUAAAGUACAUCAAUGGCAAGAACUUCUAGAAGAUUCGCCAAUUUUCUAUCAAGUAAUAGCACUUAAGGAUUCAUAUUAUGUUUGGGUUGGAACCGAAGAAGGACGAUUGGAUGCAUUGGACAUCUCUAUUCCCUUAUCUUCAUCGAACACCAUACCUACAGCUACGUCGCUGAUUGGAAACCCCCUAGAUGACCAAGGCUACUCACUUGCUCAAAAGCUAGCUAAAAAGACAAAAAAGGCCUUUCUGAUCAGCUACAACGUUCCUAAAGCCACUCCAAGACUGAGCCAACUCAUAGAGCAGACCCUACGAGCGAAACUUAAUAGCGAGAUUUAAAGUGGCAAAGACAUCGAUGGAUAAAGUGAUUUUGAAGCAGUUCAAAGAAGGACCGACGC